RNAcentral lists this long non-coding RNA (1082 nucleotides) under Homo sapiens (human). RNAcentral's name for it is "HSALNT0142864". The record is from RNAcentral. Lineage: Eukaryota; Metazoa; Chordata; Mammalia; Primates; Hominidae.
UCAAGAUUCAGAGCAACCUGAGAAGGUUGAAAGUUUUCUUGGAAUCAUGGAAGGUCAAGCUGAAAGGAUGCUUUCAAGUUAUUUAAAUCCACAUGUGAAACCUGGAGAGGUUAUCAAGGACUCCGUUCUCCCUCUCCAAGCUGACAAGAAAACUACACCAGGAGAAUUUGGGAUUAAAGACUGAAUUCACAUUCUUUCUAACCAGUGGCCUUUUUUGGACUGUUAAAUCCUUGAUGCCAAAAGCUUCUGAUUGUGAAGCUAAUGAACCAAUGCCUAGUGUGAUUACCUCCAACUGCUAAAUGUAAUCCAAAGAACAUGCCUGAUUGCAAACAAUCUUGCCAAGCAUAGACAAAGGAAGACCAUUCAUUAAAACUACUUGUUUUCGAGCAGAUUCCAGCCCAGAUUUUAUUCAGCUGCCUAAUCAAGGAAGACUGCUUUCACUUUCUGCAAACUAGGCAGUAAAAGCCACAGAGGCCAAUGGCCUCCUGUAGAUUUUUCUAGGAGUUGGCAAACUAUGGCCCAUCAGCCACAUCUGACCUGCUUUCCUGUUUUGUAAAGCCCAUGAGCUAAGAAUAUUUUGUACAUUUUUAGAUGGUUGGGGAAAAAUCAAAAGAAGAUUACUAUUUUGUUAUGCCUGAGAAUGAAAUAAAAUUCACAUUUCAGUGUCCAUAAGUAAAGUUUUAUUGGAACACAGCCAUGCUCAUUCAUUUAUGGUAUAUAUGACUGUUUACAUGCAACAAUGGCAGCACAGUUGUGACAGAGACCAUAUGGCAUGCAAAGCAUAAAACACUUACUCUCUGAUCCUUACAGAGAAUAUUUGCCACUUCUGUACUGAAAAAAUCUUAAGUAUGAGUUUAGAAAAGCUUGGGUUGUCUACCAUGCUACCACUCACUUGGAGGCAGGACUGCAUUCAGUGAAAUCAGCUCAAACAGACCUGCAAGUAGGGAUAGAGUAAAGAGCAGAGAAACUGCCAUCAGAGAGCCCUAAACUGGAGUCUUAGUUCCUUCAUUGUAUAGUAGUAUGACUUUAGGCAAAAUUCUAAAUAUCUCUGAUUCUUAGUUUUCUCUAGUGUAAAAUGGGAU